Molecule: transfer RNA, 70 nt
Filed under: Xylophaga oregona
Lineage: Eukaryota; Metazoa; Mollusca; Bivalvia; Myida; Xylophagaidae
Description: tRNA-Lys
Rfam family: tRNA
About the family: Transfer RNA (tRNA) molecules are approximately 80 nucleotides in length. Their secondary structure includes four short double-helical elements and three loops (D, anti-codon, and T loops).
Source: RNAcentral
UCCCCUGUAGCUUAAGAUAAAUAAAGCAGUAGGCUUUUAACCUAAAUAUACACACUCGUUGUCCGGGGAA